GCCAUCGUGGUGUAACGAUAGCACACUCGGCUCGUAUUCGGGAGAUCCAAGUUUGAGUCCUGGAGAGAGCA
Molecule: transfer RNA, 71 nt
Filed under: Stegodyphus mimosarum
Lineage: Eukaryota; Metazoa; Arthropoda; Arachnida; Araneae; Eresidae
Rfam family: tRNA
About the family: Transfer RNA (tRNA) molecules are approximately 80 nucleotides in length.
Source: Rfam by way of RNAcentral